UUGGAGGGCAAGUCUGGUGCCAGCAGCCGCGGUAAUUCCAGCUCUAAUAGCGUAUAUUAAAGUUGUUGCAGUUAAAAAGCUCGUAGUUGGAUUUCGGGAUCAAUGUUUCGGUCAUGCCGUUGGUAUGUACUGAUAUUAUUGGUUUCUCACCUUCUAAAGAACCGUAAUGCCAUUAAUUUGGUGUCACGGGGAAUUAGGACUGUUACCUUGAAAAAAUUAGAGUGUUUAAAGCAGGCUCACGCUUGAAUACAUUAGCAUGGAAUAAUGAAAUAGGACAUCCGAUUCUAUUUUGUUGGUUUCUAGGAUCGAUGUAAUGAUUAAUAGGGAUAGUUGGGGGCAUUAGUAUUCAAUUGUCAGAGGUGAAAUACUUGGAUUUAUUGAAGACUAACUACUGCGAAAGCAUUUGCCAAGGAUGUUUUCAUUAAUCAAGAACGAAAGUUAGGGGAUCGAAGACGAUCAGAUACCGUCGUAGUCUUAACCAUAAACUAUGCCGACUAGGAAUCAGACGAUGUUAAUUUUCUAAUGACUCGUUUGGCACCUUACGGGAAACCAAAGUGUUUGGGUUC
This 566-nucleotide ribosomal RNA is filed under the name uncultured Glomeromycotina. RNAcentral describes it as "SSU rRNA". It matches the Rfam family "Eukaryotic small subunit ribosomal RNA", at positions 548 to 1114 of the family's 1831-position model. Lineage: Eukaryota; Fungi; Glomeromycota. The record is from RNAcentral.